Molecule: long non-coding RNA, 704 nt
Organism: Hypomesus transpacificus
Lineage: Eukaryota; Metazoa; Chordata; Actinopteri; Osmeriformes; Osmeridae
Exons: 4
Source: RefSeq, a predicted model, not a curated record
AGACCACCUUGAUCCUCCCCGUGUGGUUUCCCACUGCCGGCAGUGACACCCGGCACAGCAGCAGGAAGAAGAGGAAGGGGAAGGGAAGUCUGUGGCGUCUCUGAAACACUCGCAGGGAGAAAAAAGAAAGUGUGGGGAGAGAGAGCUCGGCAAACAAAACUCUGGGACAGCCUCCAAUUCCUCAUCAAAAGUCAAGUUCUUUGGAAGCAAUGUGGUUUUCCUGCACAUAAAGACUGUGAGGCGUGAGGAAUGCUAGCGGUGGAAUCGUCUCCUGAGCCAGUUGGCAUGAGGGGGCCAGCGGCUUGCAGACGACAUCCAUCACACCAGAGAUUUGUCAUAAUAGCUGGCACCGCACCUCAGAGGCACCUCCCUUUCUCUCUCCAGACAUUUGACAAGAGUUUGGAAAUGAACAGCCUCCCAAAUGGAAGAUCAGUGCCUCUGCAUUUCUACAGCUAUAAGCGACUGCAUUAAUGAGAAAACACCUAAGUGAGUUGUAUUUCUAGAUCAAACCAACUGGCUAUGAGACCCAAAGAGUUGAGCACCCGUGCAUGACCAUUUUGAGUUUUCUACCCAUUCAUUAAAACAGUCAUUGAAGAGUUGGAGUUAGAGUUAGGGUCAUCUCACUGUAACAUAUGUAGACAAAUUAUAAAGAAAACUUGCUUCAGUACUCAAGUUGGGAAGUGAUAAGGGUAUUAGACAGUGUA